Molecule: ribosomal RNA, 468 nt
Filed under: uncultured bacterium
Lineage: Bacteria
Description: partial 16S ribosomal RNA
Rfam family: Bacterial small subunit ribosomal RNA
Source: RNAcentral
GACGAACGCUGGCGGCGUGCUUAACACAUGCAAGUCGAACGGAAAGGCCCUGCUUUUGUGGGGUGCUCGAGUGGCGAACGGGUGAGUAACACGUGAGUAACCUGCCCUUGACUUUGGGAUAACUUCAGGAAACUGGGGCUAAUAACGGAUAGGAGCUCCUGCUGCAUGGUGGGGGUUGGAAAGUUUCGGCGGUGGGGGAUGGACUCGCGGCUUGUCAGCUUGUUGGUGGGGUCGUGGCUUACCAAGGCUUUGACGGGUAGCCGGCCUGAGAGGGUGACCGGCCACAUUGGGACUGAGAUGCGGCCCGGCCUCCUACGGGAGGCAGCAGUGGGGAAUAUUGCACUAUGGGCGGAAGCCUGAUGCAGCAACGCCGCGUGCGGGAUGACGGCCUUCGGUUUGUAAACCGCUUUCGCCUGUGACGAAGCGUGAGUGACGGUAAUGGGUAAAGAAGCACCGGCUAACUACGUG